CUCUCCCUCGGCGCAGCCCUGCUCUUCUUUCUCCUCCUCUCUGCCGGUGCUUGGCGAAGCCCUGCCGAGAGACCUCGUCUCUCCAUCGACACCACGCCGUCGUGCUGCUGGAGAUCUUCCCCAACCUCUCCCUCCUCCUUGCUGGAUCAAGGUGCGGGAGACGUCACCGGGCUGCACGUGUGUUGAACGCGGAGGUGCCGUAGUUUGGCACUAGAUCGGAAUC
This 223-nucleotide long non-coding RNA is filed under the name Hordeum vulgare. Its description in RNAcentral is "long non-coding RNA (HVUL_LNC010415)". The record is from RNAcentral. Lineage: Eukaryota; Viridiplantae; Streptophyta; Magnoliopsida; Poales; Poaceae.